UACGGGGGGGGCAAGCGUUGUUCGGAAUUACUGGGCGUAAAGGGUUCGUAGGUGGCCAACUAAGUCAGACGUGAAAUCCCUCAGCUUAACUGGGGAACUGCGUCUGAGACUGGAUGGCUCGAGUGCAGGAGAGGAACGCGGAAUUCCAGGUGUAGCGGUGAAAUGCGUAGAUAUCUGGAGGAACACCGGUGGCGAAGGCGGCGUUCUGGACUGUUACUGACACUGAGGAACGAAAGCCAGGGGAGCAAACGGG
Molecule: ribosomal RNA, 253 nt
Filed under: uncultured Acidobacteriota bacterium
Lineage: Bacteria; Pseudomonadati; Acidobacteriota
Description: uncultured Acidobacteria bacterium partial 16S ribosomal RNA
Rfam family: Bacterial small subunit ribosomal RNA
Source: RNAcentral